This 253-nucleotide ribosomal RNA is filed under the name uncultured bacterium. RNAcentral's name for it is "partial 16S ribosomal RNA". It matches the Rfam family "Bacterial small subunit ribosomal RNA", at positions 524 to 776 of the family's 1533-position model. The record is from RNAcentral.
UACGGGGGGGGCAAGCGUUGUUCGGAAUUACUGGGCGUAAAGGGCGCGUAGGCGGCCUUCUAAGUCAGACGUGAAAUCCCUCGGCUCAACCGAGGAACUGCGUCUGAUACUGGAAGGCUUGAAUCCGGGAGAGGGAUGUGGAAUUCCAGGUGUAGCGGUGAAAUGCGUAGAUAUCUGGAGGAACACCGGUGGCGAAGGCGGCAUCCUGGACCGGCAUUGACGCUGAGGCGCGAAAGCUAGGGGAGCAAACGGG